GAGGCAUGCUUCAGUUUCACAGUCAGAGAGCAGGGUACAUCCUUUAGAGUUCAGACUAACAGAUGAUCAGAUUGAGAUGAUGUCCCAACGUGUAGCCUUUAUUUUAUCUCAGCAGUUUGCCACUUCAGUCUUUGCUCAGAGAUCGACAUCUCAAGAUGACUCAGACCAGACUCUGAUCCCUCAUAUCUCUACUAUUUUUCGGAUACUUACUACUCAG
RNAcentral lists this long non-coding RNA (217 nucleotides) under Elaeis guineensis (African oil palm). Its description in RNAcentral is "long non-coding RNA (EGUI_LNC021475)". Lineage: Eukaryota; Viridiplantae; Streptophyta; Magnoliopsida; Arecales; Arecaceae. The record is from RNAcentral.